This 253-nucleotide ribosomal RNA is filed under the name uncultured bacterium. Its description in RNAcentral is "partial 16S ribosomal RNA". It matches the Rfam family "Bacterial small subunit ribosomal RNA", at positions 524 to 776 of the family's 1533-position model. The record is from RNAcentral.
GACGAACCGUACGAACGUUAUUCGGAAUCACUGGGCUUAAAGGGUGCGUAGGCUGCGCGGAAAGUUGGGUGUAAAAUCCCUCGGCUCAACCGAGGAACUGCGCCCAAAACUGCCGUGCUCGAGGGAGACAGAGGUGAGCGGAACUUAGGGUGGAGCGGUGAAAUGCGUUGAUAUCCUAAGGAACACCGGUGGCGAAAGCGGCUCACUGGGUCUCUUCUGACGCUGAGGCACGAAAGCUAGGGUAGCGAACGGG